RNAcentral lists this long non-coding RNA (678 nucleotides) under Anas platyrhynchos platyrhynchos (common mallard). Its description in RNAcentral is "lncRNA (ENSAPLG00000022511.1)". The record is from RNAcentral. Lineage: Eukaryota; Metazoa; Chordata; Aves; Anseriformes; Anatidae.
UUGGCACAAGCAUUAUGUUUAUGGGAUCUUUUACUUGGGGUAAGUCUUUUGCCUCCACUCGAAGUAGUAAGUCCACACAUGGACUUACCCUAAGAGCAGUGUGUCUACUCCUGGUGUCUUAUGUCUUGCUUGUGCUGCAAUUCAGUGAACGAGAGGAAUAGCUGCUGCAGAAGCACGGAGUGUUACUUAAGGGCGAGGGGAGGGGUAUUGCUCAGCCUGUGAUCUUGUGCGAGAUCUUGUGGUCUUGCAGAACAGUGGCAGUAGGAACGCCUCUCUUGACCGAUAUGUGCAAAGUGACUCAAACCUCGCUGGCUGCCACUUGAACACAGGUUAUAAACGUUUGACUGAUAACAAAACUGAAAAGGAAGCAAUCCCCUGUUACUUUUAUUGAAGAAAGCCAGGGGAAGGAGUUUAAGGCCGCCGGGAACUAAAAAUAAAUGGGAGGCUGCUUCUAUGAGCAGCAGAAAGAUACUUGGAAAAAAACACCACAGAAGAAAACACUUUCUGGAACUCAACACUUUCUGUCCGUUAUCUGGCUUCGAGCCCAGAUGCAGCUGUGUUUUUCUCUGUCUUGUUUCAUUUUCCCCUGAGACAGAGAGGCACCAGCAGUGCCAAAUAAUUUACGAGCUGGGACAUUUUCUGCAGCCUGUGGGACUGAACGAAGUUUGGAGUGAAUAG